RNAcentral lists this ribosomal RNA (253 nucleotides) under uncultured bacterium. RNAcentral describes it as "partial 16S ribosomal RNA". It matches the Rfam family "Bacterial small subunit ribosomal RNA", at positions 524 to 776 of the family's 1533-position model. The record is from RNAcentral.
GACAGAGGGGGCAAGCGUUGCUCGGAAUUACUGGGCGUAAAGGGCGCGUAGGCGGGAUGGCAAGUCGGUCGUGAAAUCCCUCGGCUCAACCGAGGAACGUCGAUCGAUACUGCUGUUCUUGAGGAUUGCAGAGGAGACUGGAAUUCCCGGUGUAGCGGUGAAAUGUGCAGAGAUCGGGAGGAACACCGGUGGCGAAGGCGGGUCUCUGGGCAAUUCCUGACGCUGAGGCGCGAAAGCGUGGGGAGCAAACAGG